AACGAACGCUGGCGGCAGGCCUAACACAUGCAAGUCGAACGAGAUCUUCGGAUCUAGUGGCGGACGGGUGAGUAACGCGUGGGAACGUGCCCUUCUCUACGGAAUAGUCCUGGGAAACUGGGUUUAAUACCGUAUACGCCCUUCGGGGGAAAGAAUUUCGGGGAAGGAUCGGCCCGCGUUGGAUUAGGUAGUUGGUGGGGUAAUGGCCUACCAAGCCGACGAUCCAUAGCUGGUUUGAGAGGAUGAUCAGCCACACUGGGACUGAGACACGGCCCAGACUCCUACGGGAGGCAGCAGUGGGGAAUCUUAGACAAUGGGGGGCAACCGUCGAUCUAGCCAUGCCGCGUGAGUGACGAAGGCCCGUACGGGUCGGUAAAGACUCUUUCGUCCUGUGAAGAUAAUGACGGUAGCAGGUAAAG
RNAcentral lists this ribosomal RNA (419 nucleotides) under uncultured bacterium. Its description in RNAcentral is "bacterial SSU rRNA". It matches the Rfam family "Bacterial small subunit ribosomal RNA", at positions 29 to 487 of the family's 1533-position model. The record is from RNAcentral.